UACGUGGGGAGCAAGCGUUGUUCGGAUUUACUGGGCGUAAAGGGCGGGUAGGCGGCCACCGCAGGUCAGUUGGGAAAUCUCUGGGCUUAACCCAGAAAGGGCAACUGAUACUGCGGGGCUAGAGUGCAGAAGGGGCAACUGGAAUUCUCGGUGUAGCGGUGAAAUGCGUAGAUAUCGAGAGGAACACCUGCGGCGAAGGCGGGUUGCUGGGCUGACACUGACGCUGAACUGCGAAAGCUAGGGGAGCGAACGGG
This 254-nucleotide ribosomal RNA is filed under the name uncultured bacterium. RNAcentral describes it as "partial 16S ribosomal RNA". It matches the Rfam family "Bacterial small subunit ribosomal RNA", at positions 524 to 776 of the family's 1533-position model. The record is from RNAcentral.